AUGGCGGCUUGGGGAAGAGGCAAUGCAGCUGGCAGUAAGGCGCUUGUCGCCGGCGCCGCGUUCCUGUGCAUGGCCGCGGUGCUCCUGGCGGCCACCCCUGCCGCCGAGGCGGGGGCGACGACGUACCUUGUCGGCGACGCCGCCGGGUGGACGCGCAACGUCGACUACGGCGGGUGGCUGGCCGGCAAGAUCUUCCGCGCCGGCGACGUGCUCGUGUUCAAGUACAACAGCACGUUCCACGACGUGGCGUGGGUGAGCAAGGGCGGGUACAAGAAGUGCGUCGUGUCGCCCAAGGGGUACGCCCCGGUGUACCGCAACGGCUACGACGCGGUCGCGCUGCCCAGGGGCACGCACUACUUCAUCUGCGGCGUGCCGGGCCACUGCAGCGCCGGCAUGAAGCUCGCCGUCACCGUCUACUGA
Molecule: ribosomal RNA, 420 nt
Filed under: Triticum aestivum (bread wheat)
Lineage: Eukaryota; Viridiplantae; Streptophyta; Magnoliopsida; Poales; Poaceae
Description: partial small subunit ribosomal RNA
Source: RNAcentral